This is a long non-coding RNA of Daucus carota subsp. sativus, 334 nucleotides long. RefSeq lists it as uncharacterized. Lineage: Eukaryota; Viridiplantae; Streptophyta; Magnoliopsida; Apiales; Apiaceae. The transcript has 3 exons. The record is from RefSeq and is a predicted model, not a curated record.
AAGUUCAAUUCAGCUUUCAGCCGUGUUUAGCGCUGCGUGAGUAGUGGAGAGAAUUGCUUCUUGCAUCCCUUUUAUUUAUAAAUUCUUUUAAUUUUGUUUCAAGGGCAUUGAUAAAUUGCCAAAUUGUAAAAGAUUUUAUGUAUUCUUUCUGUUUCAACUUUCGCCCGUGGAUGGUGGUCUUUGAUUCGAAGUUUGUUUAUGGAAGAGGAAAAAGAAGUAUAUGGGGAGAAAUAAAGUUGUGGCAGACGUGUAUUUGACGAGUGAAGGAUAGGUGUUAAGGACGAGGCAAAGGAUUUUUCUGAAGAAAUUUCAAAAGCACAACAGAUUAUGCGGU